CUAGGAAAAAGGGGGAGGAAAAAGCUGACUCGUUUUUGUAAUUUUAUUUCAGACGAUAGCAAUGGAACCCAGACAUGACUCCACCCCAGCUGUGGUCUACCAUGUUACUGCUACCAAUAACAGGAAAGAUAUCAAUGCACCUCAUCUUAAGACCUCUACAUCAAUAGGCAAGUUGGAACAAUCUUCCUUUUCGAAACAAUCUUUGUUCUUUGCCAGAGGGCUUGCGUAUAACAGUUAUCCUUAUCUUCAUAAUACAAUUAUUACUUUGGGUUUCAGCUCACAGAGUAUAAUCACAAGGGAUAACAGUUAUUAUAGUUGCAGAAUGCUUCAAAUUCAAUUUCUAAACUGUGCUUUAGUGUAGGCAAGUGCCAGAUUUGUCUGCAUUCUUUAAUCCAGAUUUUUUUUUAGCAGGCCUCGUGGCAGCUGCUAUGGAAUAAAUGAACUUUACAACAGGCUCUUUCUAUUGCAGACAUUACCAAUAUUUGCAACUGAUAGUUCAUUUAAACAAUGGCAGAGGGACAUUUCUAAGUUUAUAUGGCAAGGAAAAAAACCUAGAAUUAGAUACAACCUAUUGCAAGAUGCUAAUAAAAGAGUGGGUUUGGAUUUAGCCAAUUUGAAAUUGUAUUUUGAUACACGCUGUUUGGCUGGUUAAAAAAGUGGGUGAACCUUCAGAACAAGAGGCUAUUUGAUUUAGAGCAGUGGUUCCCAAACUUGGCAACUUUAAGACUUGUGGACUUCAACUCUGCUGGCUGGAGAAUUCUGGGAGUUGAAGUCCACAAGUCUUAAAGUUGCCAAGUUUGGGAACCACUGAUUUAGAGGGCCAUGAAUUAAGGUUUGAAUGGCAUGAUUGUCCAUGGUACAACACUAGAUGUACCAUACUAAGAGUUCGGAAUAAAUAUAAAAUAAGGUUUUCCAGUUGCCUCUUUGGGUGUCUGCUCAUGAAGCUUUUUUUUUUUUUUUUUUAACAACAACAAUGGUUAUGAAACCAGACUGGUGGACUAAUGGUAAAAAAGUAUCUUUCAACUCUGGUGUUCCUACCCUAAAGUUGAGUAAGAGCUAGAAUUAGGUUACGUUUGCCAUUGGUUUACAUAUCAACAACUGAAAGAUUUAAAUUAGAUUAAAAGAUUUGAUUUAGUUAAAAAUGAAUUGGAAAUCUUACUGUGUGGUAGUGAUGAACAUAUAAUAAGAUUUAUAAAAUAUUACUGAAAUUGAAUUGGAAAGUGAACAUGUAAAAACAUUGUAUGAUUCAGUGGGCAAGGAACUUUUGAUAGAAUGUAAACAAUCGGAAUAUAUAUGGACAAAAGGUUUAAAAUUCACGCUAAACUAUAAACUAAACUAUAAUUUAAAAGAAAAUUUUUUAUAAGAUGAUGUACUACUGGUAUCUAAUACCAGAUAAGUUAUGUGGACUGUAUAAAGGUAUUCCAAAUGAACGUUGGAAAUGUAAAAGUAAAGGCACCUUUUAUCAUCUAUGGUGGACAUGUGAUAGAGCAAAGACAUUUUGGAGUAAGAUUCAUAUUUUAAUACAGAAAAUUCUUAAAACUAAGAUAAAGGUGAAACUAGAAACUUUUAUUUUGGGUUCAAUCGGAAAAGACUUAGAAAAAAAUGGAACUUUGAAUUUAUAUAUGUUGACAGAAGUAGGACUACUGUAUGCAGAAGAAUGGAAGGACACUUCAAUUCCCACCAUGGACGAAUGGCUACAGAAGUUGAUGAAGUUGGCAGAGAUGGCUAAAAUGACUGUUUUGAUCAAAGAAAAGAAUAUAAGUAUUUUUGUUGCUACAUAGACUGUUUCUGGACUUUGUGCUUGAGGUGAA
This is a long non-coding RNA of Thamnophis elegans (Western terrestrial garter snake), 1811 nucleotides long. RefSeq lists it as uncharacterized. The record is from RefSeq and is a predicted model, not a curated record. NCBI's taxonomy places the organism in Eukaryota, Metazoa, Chordata, Lepidosauria, Squamata, Natricidae. The transcript is spliced from 2 exons.